Molecule: long non-coding RNA, 32049 nt
Filed under: Lactuca sativa (garden lettuce)
Lineage: Eukaryota; Viridiplantae; Streptophyta; Magnoliopsida; Asterales; Asteraceae
Description: long non-coding RNA (LSAT_LNC001269)
Source: RNAcentral
UAGGCUCUCAAAACUCCAAGCAACCAACCACAAGAAAAUGGUAUGUCAUUCUACUAGAUUUUUAUGUUACAAGUACCCCAUCACAUGCUAGUUAGGAUGAGAUCCUUGGAAAAAUCAAAUUUGCAUGUAUAUUAGAGAAAACAUAGAUCCAAGGUUUCUAGGGUUACAUGUACACCAUAAUAGUGUUAGAAUGCUCAAAACCCUUCAGUGAUAUAAAAGCCUAGGCUUGUUUUCAUUAUAAUUGAUGCAGAUUGCUAUAAAAAGUCGAAAUUGUGCUCAUUGUUCAGUGAACUCGCCGAGUCCAUGGGGGAAAUCGAUGAGUCUAAGGGAAAGUUCAUCCUACUCGUCGAGUAGGUUCUUGCACCCGGCGAGUAAGAGGCCCUGUGUGCAAAAUAUCGAAUUUUGUUGUUGGAAUUGAACUAGGAUCAUUACCCUAAACUGCUUUUAGAUUGUUAAACCUGUUUUUGAUGUGGUAAUGAUUAUGCUUAUCCCAUUUCAAUGAUAAUUAUCAAAGUUUCAAUUUUUAUUUUAUGUUUAUAUGAUUCUUGAAAAUUAUUGAUGUGGAUGUUCAUGCUUAUGAGUUUUGGUAGAUCAUAGGAAUUAUUUGGAAAUUGCUUGUUAGUGUAAUUCUUGAUCUUAAUGCCAAUUAAUGGACUCCAUAACUUGUCCUCAAGUUAUGGAAUUCCAAAAGUCUUUUCUUUAAAACCAUUAAAACUCAUAAGUUAUAGAAAUGAAAAGUUUUGAAUAGUUUCAAAACUUGCCCUCAAGUUUUGGAAUUUGUAAAGUCUCACACACAAUUUAAUUCCAAUCCCUAGAAUUUUAAAAGUUUAAAAUUCAACCCUUAUACUUUAUAAUAUAAUAAGUUAAUAAUAUAUGUGUAUAUGUAUAAGAUCAAUUCAGUCUUACCGUUAGUAGGCCUCAUUCACGAAGUCGGUCUAAAAGAGGGGUAUAAGGUUGUUGCCUAUAAAAUGGCAACUUAAUGGGUGUCCACUCUCAGCCACUACUUCCUUGACUGGUGGAGGGUCGUUAGCUAAACGGGUAGAACAAGGACUAUAAUUCUCAUUAAAGUAUAAUGAUAAAUAUAAAGUAACUAAACCUUUUAUAAAUUCCCAAUCUUAGUUACCUUAGGAAAAUGUGAAUUUGGUGCUAACCCAUGAAAUUACACUUUGUACUUUACCAAGUCGUUAGUGGAGCGUGUGUGGUUAAUCGGCACACUAACAUGGACUAGUAAGUGUGGAAAAGGGUAACUUAAUGUUUAUCAUAGAUUGGUGGAGCGCGUGUGGUUAACCGACACAUCCAUUAGGUGAUAAAAAUUAAGGGUACCAAGUUAAUUUGCAUGGUUAUUCAAACCUUGUUUGUGAUCCUCGGCAUCCCAGUCACAAAAUUGAGAGGGCACAAUCGAGAUUUAAACAUGCCAUUGAAAAGUUCAAUGAAUCUCAAAAGAUCUAGGAGUGUCAAUCCAAUUAAAACCUAAUACCUAUUUCGUUUUUCAUGGUGGAAAUUGGUGAAUCUUUAUUUUCCUACCUUCAAAUAUUUUAUAGCUUUGAUUACGACAUCCCUCUUCCAAGUGAUAAAGUAUUGUAUUGGGUCCUAGUCUUAAUAUUACUUUUGGGUAUCUUAUUAAGGACUCUUUAUCUAAUCUAAACUUGUCUUUCUUCUUUUCAGAUGUCUUCCAACAAUGCUUCUGGCUCAAACCCUACCAACUCCUUCUCUCUCAUGAAUCUUUGUGAGAGAGUCAUCUUUGAUGGUUCCAACUUUAAUGAUUGGAUCAGGAACAUCAGGAUGGUCACACGUUACAAGGGAAAGGAAUGUGCAUUGACAAGGAGCUGAAGGAGAUCGAUGAGUCCACUACUACUCCACAGGAGAUCGCUGACUUUAGGACUCAUGACAGAGAUGCCACUAAGCUGGCAUGUAUCAUGUUGGCCACAAUGACAUCUGAACUCCAAAAGUCCUAUGAGGACACAUGAAAGAGAUGCCACCAAGGUGGCAUGUAUCAUGUUGGCCACAAUGACAGCUGAACUCCAAAAGUCCUAUGAGCACUUUUACCCUUUUGAGAUGCACAUGGACCUGAUGGAUAGAUACCACCAGAGUGCUCGUCAAAAGAGGUAGGAAAUCAUCUCUUCCAUGAUAACAACCUGAAUGAAGGAUGUUAAACCCAUCAUGGGACACAUGCAGAAAAUGUAAAGGUUUGUGGACCGUUUUCUGAAGUUGAAUGUGAACUUCCCUGAGGAGUUGGCUAUUGACACCAUACUACACUCCUUACCUACUUGUUAUGAUCAGCUCCGAAUUACCUAUCAUAUAAACAAGGAGGAGGUCACACUCAGCAUGCUUCAAGGAAUUUUGAAUACCGUCGAAAGUGGUCUCAAAGGUAAAUCGGUUGUUACUACUCCUACUCCUAACACUGCCCCUGUUCUGGCAAUCGGACAAGGUAAAGGGAAAAAGAGGAAGACUCCUUUGAAGUUACCAAGGGAAAGUCUCUUGAUGGCUCCUUUUCGAGUGGAACCAAAGGUGGUUCUGUUACUCCCUCUUCCAACCCAAAAAAAGUUGAAUGCUUCUAUUGUCAUGAUAAGGGGCACUGGAAACGAAACUACCCCAAGUACCUAGAGUCUUGGAAUCAGUUGACUGAAGGUCAGAUGAUAGUUGCGAGUCUUUUUUACUUGGAAAAAUGACUAAGUCACCCUUCACUAGUACUUGUGCUCGGGGUGAAGGUUUAUUCGACCUCAUACACAAAGAUGUGUGUAGACCUUUCAAAACAGCCACAAGGGAUGCUAGCCACAUCUAUGUGACUUUUAUUGAUGAUUACAGUAGAUAUGGUUAUGUCUACUUAAUCAAGCAUAAAUCGGAAACCUUCGAAAAGUUCAAAGAGUUAAACAGGAAGUGGAGAAUCAAUUGGGUGGGAACAUUAAGAUGCUUCGAUCCGAUCGAGGUGGAGAGUAUCUUAGUACAUAGUUACUUGACUAUCUUAAGGAAUGUGGAAUUGUUUCACAAUUGACACCGCCCAGAACACCACAACUUAAUGGUAUACCUGAGAGGCACCACCCAUAUCCUUAAUCUAGUCCCUACCAAGAAGGUUGUCAAAACACCUCACGAGAUGUAGACUGGGAAAGUUCCCACUUUAUACCACAUCAAGAUUUGGAGUUGCGAGGCUUUCAUGAGAUGUGAAACUCACGACACUCUCGAACCUCGUAGUGAGCGGUGUAUUUUCAUCGGCUACCCACAUAAAUCUUUUGGUUACCUCUUCUACAGACCAGUGAGAAUGCAGUCUUUGUGGCAAGGAGAGGGGUUUUUUGCGAGAGAGAAUUUAUAAGCUAAGGAAACAGUGGGAGGAAAAUUGACCUUGAAGAGCUUCAAGAGUCAAGUGGUGAAGGAACCUCAAACCCUAGCAAUCAACCUGAGUAGGAAACUCUUUUUGAACCAACCAGAGCAUUAUUAUGGUUUCCAUAUUACUACGGAAGGUGAUACAUUUAUCAAUGAUAGUACAAUGGUAAAUUUGGAUGAACGUAACAGCUAUAGGGAAGCCAUGGUAGGCCCUGAGUCUGCUAAAUGGAAAGAGGCUAUGGACAGUGAGAUUCAGUCCAUGUAUGACAAUCAAUUUUGGAACUUGGUUGACAAUGUACCGGGUCGUAAGAUGGUCCGAUGCAAAUAGAUCUUCAAGAAGAAGACCGACAUGGAUGGGAAAGCACACACUUAAAAGGCACGACUGGUUACGAAGGGCUUCACCCAAAAUCAGGGAGUUGACUAUGAUGAAACCUUUUCACCAGUAGCGAAAAUUAAGUCUAUUAGGGUUAUGCUAGCCAUUUCUGCAUUUCAUGAUUAUGUAAUAUAGCAAAUGCAUGUCAAAACCGCUUUCCUUAAUGGAAAGUUAGCUGAGGAUGUUUACAUGAGUCAGUUAGAGGGUUUUUUCAAUGCAGAGUACCCUGAUAGAGUGUGCAAGCUUGAGAAAUCCAUUUAUGGAUUGAAACAAGCAUCUUGUAGCUGAAAUAUUUGUUUUAAUGAGAAAGUCAAAGAGUUUGGUUUUUCAAGAAGUGAGGAUGAGUCCUGUGUAUAUGUCAGAGCUAGUGGGAGUAUAAUUAGCUUUUUGAUACUAUAUGUGGAUGACAUACUACUCAUAGGAAAUGACAUCCCAACUUUACAGGAGAUUAAAUCCUUGCUUUCGAAGUGUUUCACUGUGAAGGACCUUGGAGAAGUUUCCUAUAUCUUAAGGAUAAGGAUAUUGAUAGAUAGGAGUAAAAGACUAAUUGGACUUAGUCAGAGAACCUACUUGGACAAGGUGUUGAAGAGGUUCAACAUGCAAAAUUCCAAGAAAGGUGAUUUACCGAUCCAAAGCAAUGCCAAAUUGAGUAAGGCUCAGAGCCCGAGUAUAGAGGCUGAGAUAGCUGAGACGAGUCGAUUACCAUAUGCUUCCGCUGUUGGCUCGAUCAUGUAUGCUAUGACUUGUACCCGCCCUGAUGUCUCCUUUGCUUUAAGCAUGGUCAGCAGAUAUCAGGGGAACCCUAGCAAGGCUCACUGGAUUGCGGUAAAGAACAUUCUCAAGUACUUACGAAGGACUAAGGAUUGGAUUCUUACCCUUGGUGGGAGUGAUGACUUGAGAGUAGUAGGGUAUAGCGACGCCAUCUUUCAGACCGACAUGGAUAAUUUCCGUUCUCAUUCGGGCAGGGUGUUUACCUUGAAUGGAGGAUCGCUUACUUGUAAAACUUGCAAGUAGGAGAUGGUAGCUAAUUCGACGUGUGAAUCAAAGUACAUAGUAGCUAGUGAAGCGGAGAAGGAGGCGAUAUGGCUGAAGAACUUCAUCGAAGACCUUGGAGUUGUACCACCUAUAAAGGAGCCUAUGAAGAUUUUCUGUGACAACAAUAGUGUGCUUGCCUUAGCCAAGGAACCGAGAGAUUAUGGUAGAUCCAGACACAUUGACAGAAAAUAUCACUUCAUAAGACACAAGAUAGAAGAAGGACUCAUCGUGGUAAAGAGGGUAUCGUCAAAAGAGAACCUAGCAGAUCCCCCCGCGAAGGGACUGACUAGGGUUAGGCAUUUGCAGCAUGCGAGGCACAUCAGGAUGAAGGAGGAUAUUAGUUAUACAGAUUAGAUAGCUAUCUCUAAACUUGUAAAAUGUAAUUGACACUUGAUGAUUAAAUAAAAUUUCUUGUUUAUUUAUAAGUAAGGUGUUACUAUCUUGUGCAGUCGUAUACUAUUGUUUAAACUUUGCACGUUUUGACUUCUAGAAUAAUUACUUUAUUCAAACUCACCAUAAUGAAUCAUACUUUGGAAGUAGGUAUGAAUCAAGACUGUCAUGAAUUGGGCUUGUAGAUGUCUAAGGUGUUAGACAUAGCAAAAGUUGCUACAACAUUCAUGAGUACUUAUAAGUUCGGAGUAUUGGAUUAAACCCACGCUCACUUGUAUCACUUCAUGGAAUUUAUCUAGAGUGAUCGUGAGACGGUAAUAUCAUAUAAGUCUUCAAACCUAGAUAUAUGAGUUCUUGGCUAUGAGUUGGUUAUGCACUGAUUGUAAGAAAACGCAUCAGUAACUUAAUGUUAUAAAACGUGCAUUUGUGUAUGAUUCAACAAGUAGUUAGUACAAGCAUAUGAGUCGAAGUUUAUCAGUUCCUUUUAGUCCUUGGAGGAUUAGAAGUGAUAUCUGGGCCCCUCGAUGAUUUUGUUUUGACCUAUGUGUCGAGCCCGGUGAUAGUUUUGUUUUUAUACUUCUUUUCAUAGUUUAUUUUUAGUUAAAAUCAUCUCAUUUUAGUUAAUCUUCAUGCAUAUUUUCUCUUUUUAUUAUCUUUCUCCUUUACCGGGUUCUUUCCAGUCUUUUGAGCAUGUUUUGCAGGAUUUACUAAAGACUAUUUGUUACUGGAGGUAUGGAGGGAUUGCGGGGCUUGUGGAUUGCUUGUGGACUUGAGGUGGUGCAAUUGGGCUUGAUGUCAGUAUAAGCGAGAAGCGCGUUAGGCCUAGUCUUUGGAUGAGGACUCAGGCUACGAAAGACAAAAUGAGCAUUGGACCAUCAUUGGAGGCUUUAGAAUAAAACAAUUGGGCUCCCAAGAGUUGUGCAUGUGGGUUGAAGUGUGAAUGAAAACAUUAGGGUGGAAUAUAUUUUAAAUGAGCCAUGUCCCACAAUCAGUGAGACCCAUGCGGUCUGUGUGGAUCCACAAACGGUCCGCGUGCAUCGUGCAGAAGUGAAUGCGAGUUUUGACUUUUUGACUCUAUUUUGGGAAGGUUGGUGGGUCGCUUUUGGGGGAGGUUUUGAAUCCGGAAAUGAGGUCUUUUUGCUGGAGAUUUGGAGCAUUAUUCAUGAUCAUCACUUGGAAAAAACUACACUUUUGCUCUCAAGAACACUUGGGAAGAACUUGAAGAAUUUGAAGAUUGUUGUUAUUUCUUUCCAUCUUGCACUUAGAAAAAUCUUUGGUACUUCUAAACUACCUUGUAUUUCUUUUAUUUUGGCCAUGCUUGGCUAGAUUUUCAUUUGGUUGAUUAGGGUUUAAUCCCAUGGAUGAUUUGUUGUUUUGAAGACUAUUAUUACCUUGUGUUUGAAGUCUAUGGAAAUUUUUUCUAGUUAAACAUCUUGUUAUGUUUGUUUAUCUUUGAUCAUGAUCUUGGAUGAAUAAACAUAUAUUUUUGUUGAUCAUUUUCUUGGUUAAGUAAUGGACUUUGAGAUUGGUAAGCAACAAAUGGUUUCUAUGUUUGUUUUCAUUUCAUUUAAACCAUGGGGAUGUUUCCUCCAUAAUGACAAUGUAAGCAUUUGAUUGUCUUAUGGACUUGGUAACUCUUAGAACUCAAAGCUAAUUGAUUUUCACAAGAUUAUAUGCUUCAAUGAUUUUGUGACUUUAAUUAAGGGAACGUGUUAGAGCUCCUCUAACCAUUUCAAUAUCUAAGAAGAGCUGAGGUAAUUUGUGCUUAUGAAUUUCUAUAGCCAAGUUAAACCAAUUCACAAGUAUUGUUCCUUUUAGUCUAAUGAUAAGUCAACUAUGUCAUCCAUGUGGUGUACCCAAAAUCAAUCGAUUUCACUUCAUUGAAUUUAAUCAAAUCUUUUACUUGUUUAUUUGUCAUAUUACAUUCUAGCUAGUUUUAAUUUUGUCAAACAAUCAAAAAGAAUUAACCCCCGUAUUUUACUUUUACUUUUGUUUUACAAGUACUUGAACAAGUGAUUUACAUAGAGAUUUAAAUUGAACCAAUCCCCGUGGAUACGAUCCCUUUACCACUUUACACUAUUUUAGUGUGUAAUAUCAAGGGUAUUAAUUUUCUUGGCCUCGACAACCACCAGAUUUUGGCGUCGUUGCCGAGGAUUGGUUUAUUUUUAAUCAAUUUGUUUCUUUAUCCCCAGAUCUCAGCGUACCGAUGACUUGAUUUACAACCCGAAAAUUGAAAAAGAAGCAAGGUGUUUGGCGAAGGAAAAGUGAAUAGAACAUGGUCAAACUUCCAACCCUCACGGGGAUCCAGAGGUUGAAACCGCUUCAUCAAGUGAUACGGAUCCCGACUCUAGCCCCGACCCUCACCAAGAAAUUCCCGAAACACCACCCUUUAAGAAGAUCCACCCAUUAUUGAACGAAUUGCAUUGGCAGAUGGAGGAGAAUUUCCCGAGAGAACUUUGAGGCAAAUGAUGGAAACCGAUGUUACACAAACUCCAACCGGUAUCAAUUAUCCGGAUUUGGAAGGAGGUUCGGAAUUGAACUCAAGUUUAGUCCAUCACCUUCCAACUUUUCAUGGAUUAGAGAAUGAAGAUCCUCAUAAGCACUUGAAGAUGUUCCACAUUAUUUGCACUGGUAUGAAACCACAAAGGUCAACCGAUGACCAAAUCAAGCUAAGGGCAUUCCCCUUUUCAUUGGCCGAUAGAGCAAAGGACUGGUUAUUCUAUCUUCCCCUGGGGUCAAUCAACUCAUGGACCGACAUGGCAAGGGCUUUUCAUGACAAGUUAAAUCCCGCUUCAAGAGUCUCAAGUAUUAGAAAUGAGAUUUGUGGAAUCUGCCAAGGUCAAAAUGAGACUUUUCAUGAUUAUUGGGAGAGGUUCAACAACUUGUGCUAUAGUUGUCCACAACAUCAAAUUCCGAAACAACUCCUCAUCCAACACAUCUAUGAGGGAUUGUUGCCAAUGAAGAGAAGACUAGUUGAUGCCUCAAGUGGUGGAAAUGUCUUUUGCAAAACUCCACAACAAACAAGACAACUCUUCAACACCAUAUCCGCAAAUUCACAACAUUUUGGUCUGUGCCAAGAUAUGAAGAGAGAAACUUAACAAAAAGUCAAUGAAGUGGGAACAUCAAACCUCGAAUCUCAAAUCAAAGAUCUAGCCUCCGUUGUUCAAAAGCUAGCCAUGGGGCAAACUCCACAAGUAAUGGUUUGUGGAAUACGUGCAACAAUGGGACAUCGUACAGAUAUGUGUCUUAUUCUCCAAGAAGAUGCGAAACAUGUGAAUGCCACGGGAGAGUUCCAAAAUUACCACAAAAAAACAUUUGGUUACCAAAAUCCAUACAAUUAAAGUUGGAAGCCAAAUCCUAACAUGAGCUACAACCCAAGACCAUUGCCUCAAAAUGCAUUGGUUAGACCUUCCUAUCCACCACCACAACCUUAUUACCAACAUCCAAAACCACACUGUCAACCCAAACCACACCCUCCACAUCAUCAUCAACAACCUCCUCAAUCCCAACCAAGUAGCUCCGGAAUGUCUCUUGAAGACAUUGUCAAAUCCUUAGCCACUAGUACCCAACAAUUCCAAAAAGAGACAAGAAUUAGUAUCUCCAACCUUGAAACACAAUUGGAAGAUAUAGUUACAUCCGUAAGCAAGUUGGAAUCCUGUGGAAAAUUUCCUCUCAAACCGAAAAGAACCCAAAUGUUAAUGUGGUGACCUUGAGAAGUGGCAAAGAAACCGGAGAGGGUAGUUCAAAGAAGAAGCCAAGGGAUGAAGAGGAGGAAAUAGAAGUAAUUCCCAUUGAGGAUCCCAUAACCAAGAACGCCACACACGCCGAAGUUCCAAAGAAUACCAUUCCCUUAGUGACCCCAAUAGCCACUCAACCGUCAUUCCCCUCUCGACUUGUGACUUUCAAGAAGAACAUGGAGGAGAAAGAGAUUUUGGACACCUUUCGAAAGGUAAAAGUAAACAUUCCUUUACUUGAUGCAAUCAAACAUAUCUCUAGAGAUGCAAAAUUCUUGAAGGAACUUUGUACCAGCAAGAGGAAAUUGAAGGGAAACGAGAAAAUCCAAAUUAAUGAACAUUCAUCUGCGGUUUUACAAAGAAAACUUCCACCCAAAUGCAAAGAUCCCAAACUGUUUACGACUCCUUGCAAGAUUGGAGAUGUUACUUUUAGUAGCGAUAUGCUAGAUCUUGGUGCUUCUAUCAAUUUCAUGCCCUAUUCGGUGUACAAAUCAUUGAAUGGCGAACCUUUGAGUGAACCUAGAGUCAUAAUCUCUCUUGUGGAUAAAUCAAGUGUCUUUCCUAGAGGUGUUCUAGAAGAUGUUUUGGUGCAAGUGAAACAAUUGGACUUCCCGGCGGAUUUCUAUGUGAUUGAUUUAGAAGAACAAGUGUCCUCCAAGUCGGGUAUAAUUUUACUUGGGAGACCAUUUUUGAAGAUGGCUAGAACGAAGAUUGAUGUGUAUGCGGGAAGCUUAACAAUGGAGUUUGAUGGGGAAACAAUAAGUUUCAAUAUAUGCGAUGUUAUUAGAUAUCCUAGUGAUGUUUCAUCCUUAUGCUUUGUUAAUGUUGUUGAACCAUUAGCCCAAGAAUUGUCCGAGUUGUCUAAUGGUGACAUGUUGGAGAUGAUUUUGAGCAAAGGAUUUGAUUGUGGGAAAUUAGCCAAAAAGUUGAAGCUUUACUCGUUAGAUCCAGAAGUUGAAAGAUUGGUCAACAAUUUAGAAAUCAAGAAAACCACUCAAUUUAGUGUGAAGCAAAUUGAAAUACCUAAAACUCACACAAGAUUGCCACCCUCCCUUGUUCAACCACCGAAAUUGGAAUUAAAGGUCCUUCCUCAACACUUGAAGUAUGCAUACUUGGGAAACAACGAGACUCUUCCGGUCAUCAUUUCAAAUCAUUUAACCGAAUGUGAAGAAGAGAAACUCAUCAAGGUGAUAAAGGAGCACAAGGAAGCCAUGGGAUGGACGAUUGCGGAUAUCAAGGGAUUGAGCCCCUCCACUUGUAUGCACAAGAUCUUGUUAGACGAUGAAUGCAAGUCGAGUUAGGAUGUGUGACAUCCCCAAUUUCAAGGGCCAGAAAAUACCGACUUGUUUAUGCUUUGUUUUAUAAAAUCAGAGUAAAUUCUUUUGAUUUAAAAGAGUUGCAGAAUUUUUUCCCAAAACAAAAUAUGACAAAAUUUAUCAAAACGUUUCUCAAAGAGAACGUAUUUUCAUUAAAUAAUAAAACCUCGGGAUGUCAUGUUCUGAUACAGACCAAAAGCAUAAAUAGUAUAUAAAAUAGACCUUACAAUAGUUAUUUAUAACUACUAAUCUAUAUUCCAAAAUCUCUCGUCAAGUCCACCAACUUAUACUCUUGUGUCAUUACCUAUAAUGCAAAGAAAACUGAGUGGGUCAGGCUUGGGAGCCUGGUGAGCAUAUAGGGUUUUCAACCCACAAUAUUAUAUCUUAUAUUUAUAUAUUCAAUCAUCAAACAAUCAUUCCAAUUACCAGUCCCCAUUAUCCUCCUUACUCUUAACCGUCUACCCUAAGAGUCAUCUAUUCGUUCACUCCGUAAUAGGCACUAAGACAAUAGCUGCCAGGAUUCUUUAUUAGGCACUAAGACAAUAGCUGCCAAGGUUCUUUCGUAAAUCACUAAUUCCAUAGUUGCUAUGGUUCAUUCAUCGAGUACUAAAUCCAUAGCUACCAGUGUAGGUACUAAGUCCAUAGCUACCAAACGUUUAUCUAACAGGUACUAAGUCCAUAGCUAUCAUCAUCUAUCUAAGAGUAGUAAAUCCAUAGCUACCAACGUUCGUCUAUACGGUACUAAAUCCAUAGCUACCAAGGUUCAUCUAUAUACAGUACUAAAUCUAUAGCUACCGAGGCUUAUCUUUACAGUACUAAAUCCAUAGCUACCGAGGUUUAUCUUUCAUCUCAUCCUCAAACUCAUCCUUUAUCACACACCAACUAUUUUGUCCAUCCAUGCUCUACCCAACAUAUUUGUAGAGAUAAAUACAUAUACAGUUUAACUCAUUUAAAACCUAUAUAAAACUUCAAUUCCACGCCCAUCUCAAAUAGACAAAUAAUAUAUAAACACAUAGCAAGUAUUUCAUAGAAAAUACUUCGUAUUUAUGUGUUAGAAGAAAGUAACUACACACUCACCCAAACAUAUACUUAAUACAUUCAAACAUUACUUGUAUUAUACUCGUGUUUAUGAAAGGGACUAUACACCCACACAUAUAAACAACUUUAUAUUAUACACAUAGCACGUAUUUCAUAGCAAAUACUUAAUAUUUAUGUGUUAGAAGAAAAUGACCACACACUCACACAUAUAAACAACAAUAUAUAUACACAUAGCACGUAUUUUAUAAAAUACCUCAUAUCUAUGUGUAAGAUGAAAGUGACUAUACACUCACUUGAUUAGAAGAUGAUUGGACAACACUACGACUUCUAGAAGUAGUAUUCUUCGGUAGAUCUGGAAGAUCUUCAUAAAAACCGGGCUCCUCGCGGGCAGAGCUUCGGCUCGUGAAUUGCACUUCUCGGGAUCUUUGGGAUUCGGGACUCGCUUCGGGUCUCGGGAUGAUAUCGGAGCUUCGGGGGUACUUCUUUUCAUGUAAAUCGAGGUAAUAUGGGUGAGAGAUGAGAGAACGAGCAACCAAACUCGACUUGCCCUUCAAAUCUAUUUAUAGGGCAAAAUCUGCCCUUGCCAUGUCGUGACACCUUUUUCCAUGUCGUGGGAUUGGUUGUCACUGCAUGCGUCAUAGCAAGUUGCAUCUGGGGGACUCCCGGAGGUGUCAUAAGACUGGCCACGUCGUGGCACUGCUUGCCACGUCGUGGUAUCUGACAGUUUUGGGGUUUCGCGCCCCGAACUUCAGAAAUUCAUAACUUUCGCAUACGAACUCCGUUUUCGACGUUCUUUAUAUCGACGCGAAGGUGAGAUUAUGCUCUACAACUCUCGUUUAGACUCCAUUGGCUAAUUUUGANNNNNNNNNNNNNNNNNNNNNNNNNNNNNNNNNNNNNNNNNNNNNNNNNNNNNNNNNNNNNNCUUGCCACGUCGUGGUAUCUGACAGUUUUGGGGUUUCGCGCCCCGAACUUCAGAAAUUCAUACCUUUCGCAUACGAACUCCGUUUUCGACGUUCUUUAUAUCGACACGAAGGUGAGAUUAUGCUCUACAACUCUAUUUUAUACUCCAUUGGAUAAUUUUGACUUUAUUUUUAAUAUAUUAUAAUUAUAUUACUUAUAUAUUAUUUUUAGUAGGGCUGGACAGGAAAACUCUGUUAUAAACUCAUAACUCCUUCGUCUGACGUCCGUCUUUCUGUCGUUGCACUAAUAUCAAUGAGAUCUUCAAUUCUCAUUUAGAUUGUUUUGGAUAAUUAUCUCUCUAAUGUAAAUUCACUAUUUACGUCGCACUGUGUCGUACCGGUUCUGUCGCAAAACUUCGAUAGGUCAUAACUUCUUCGUUAUAACUCGGAUUUCGGCGUUCUUUAUAUGUACGGAAUCCUUGUAACAUAUACUAUAACUUAGUCAAGAUUAAUCCUUCUAAAUAAUCUUCCAUCAAAAAGUCAUUUUUUGAUGCUUAUCGUCUCUAAUUUGACUAGCCCUAAUCUACGGGCGUUACAAUUAUCUCGCCCUUAGGAUGAUUACGUCCCGGAAUCAUCAACGAAAUAGGAAUUUUAUAAUGAUUCCAUACGAUAUCUCUUCAUCCUAGGUAAUAAAACUAACUUCUAUGUUUCUUCGAAAGAGUAUCUAACUCUAGGGCUUCUUGACUACAGACGAUGCUCAAUCUUGCAUUUGGUUUUGUUACUAUGUUGGACUUUCAAUCAUAACCUUCAAGUUACAAAAUAAGUCCUCAUUUUGGAUUCCUUCUUCUUCUUAGGAUAAAUACUUUCCGAUAUCUAUUGUAACAGACCUAUGGGUUGUGUCCUGAUGACCUCUCAUCGUAGUCGGACUCAAUAGAUAUGACCACUAGGGUCGGAAUAACAACCAUCUUACUAGUCAUUACCGAAACAAUGGUAACGACAUACUUGAAUAAAACGGAAUCAAUUACUAGCUUCUUGGUAACCUUGCGACUUCCCAUGAUCCAAGCGUGAGUCCUGUGCUUCCAGUAGUAUAGAUCUCUACUACUAUUCACACCUACUCAUACUCGUCCCAAGUAUUGUCUCGCAGUCCCCAAGUCCUAAAAUCACAAAACAGUUUAACACAUACGAACGUGUCCAAUUAAUCAUAAAAUUUUUCCUAGACUCUACUAGGACUUCUUCCAUGAGCAUCUUCUAUCAUCAAUCAUGCUUCAACUCGAUUGGUGAUGGAAAUUCUAGAUUAUGGGACGACUUCAAGAAUUACACCAAUCGUUCCAUCAUCCUGCCAAUCGAAGGUGUACUUCAGACGUACCGUACUCCUCUAAACGUUCCGUUAUUUCAUCAAACAUAAACUAAAGGCAAGACACCACUCUGACGAUAUCUUCCGAUAGGUGUCAUUCACUAUCAUAAGCCUUUAAUUUUCUCCAUUUAAUCAAUUCUCUACGAGUCUUUGCCAUAACAUUUUGUACAUCCAAGCAGACGUUCGGUGCACCAGGCGAGAAUUUAAGAUAAGAAAGCUUUAUUUAUGAUAGACGUAUAAAUCUCCUUAUUACUCUGAAACGUUUACAUGCUAGUUCUAAUAUCGUAUCAAACGCUUAGAAUCCUAAACACAUAAGGUCUCCAGUUCCGGUCGGCAACAGACCAUAGAUCCGAGCAAAUAAUAACAUAUAUGGAAACAUAUAACAUUUAGCACAUAAAAGCAUUUUAGGCAUCAUUCCUAAAAUAUACUAGUGCUCGUGUCUUAAAAUAUGGUAGAUACUCAUCUCACAAUAAUCUCUUAGCAUUCUAAGUUUAAGUCUAGAAAUCCUACAAAUUCCUAGUUCGCUUAAACUAAUGCUCUGAUACCAACUGUGACAUCCCCAAUUUCACGGGCAGAAAAGGCCGAUUUGUUUAUGCUUUGUUUUAUAAAAUCAGAGUAAAUUCUUUUGAUUUAAAAGAGUUGCGGAAUUUGUUCCCAAAACAAAAUAUGAUAAAAUUUAUCAAAACGUUUCUCAAAGAGAACGUAUUUUCAUUAAAUAAUAAAACCUCGGGAUGUCAUGUUUCGAUACAGACCAAAAGCAUAAACAGUAUAAAAUAGACCUUACAACAGUUAUUUAUAACUACUGAUCUAUAUUCCAAAAUCUCUCAUCAAGUCCACCAACUUAUACUCUUGUGUCAUUACCUGUAAUGCAAAGAAAACUGAGUUGGUCAGGCUUGGGAGUCUGGUGAGCAUAUAGAGUUUUCAACCCACAAUAUUAUAUCUUAUAUUUAUAUAUUCAAUCAUCAAACAAUCAUUCCAAUUACCCAUCCCCAUUAUCCUCCUUACUCUUAACGGUCUACCCUAAGUGUCAUCUAUCGUUCACUCUAUAAUAGGCACUAAGACAAUAGUUGCUAGGAUUCUUUAUUAGGCACUAAGACAAUAGCUGCCAAGGUUCUUUCGUAAAGCACUAAUUCCAUUGCUACUAUGGUUCAUUCAUCGGGUACUAAAUCCAUAUCUACCAGUGUAGGUACUAAGUCCAUAGCUACCAACGUUUAUCUAACAGGUACUAAGUCCAUAGCUAUCAUCGUCUAUCUAACCGUACUAAAUCUAUAGCUACCAACGUUCGUCUAUACGGUACUAAAUCCAUAGCUACCAAGGUUCAUCUAUAUACAGUACUAAAUCCAUAGCUACCGAGGUUUAUCUUUCGUCUCAUCCUCAAACUCAUCCUUCAUCACACACCAACUAUUUCGUCUAUCAAUGCUCUACCCAACAUAUUUGUAGAGAUAAACACAUAUACAAUUUAACUCAUUUAAAACCUAUAUAAAACUACAAUUCCAUGCCCGUCUCAAAUAGACAAAUAAUAUAUAAACACAUAGCAAGUAUUUCAUAGCAAAUACUUCGUAUUUAUGUGUUAGGAGAAAGUAACUACACACUCACCCAAACAUAUACUUAAUACAUUCAAACAUUACUUGUAUUAUACUCGUGUUUUUGAAAGGGACUAUACACCCACACAUAUAAACAACUUUAUAUUAUACACAUAGCACGUAUUUCAUAGCAAAUACUUAAUAUUUAUGUGUAAGAUGAAAGUGACCACACACUCACACAUAUAAACAACAAUAUAUAUACACAUAGCACGUAUUUUAUAAAAUACUUCAUAUCUAUGUGUAAGAUGAAAGUGACUAUACACUCACUUGAUUAGAAUAUGAUUGGAUAGCACUACGACUUGCAGAAGUAGUAUUCUUCGGUAGAUCUGGAAGAUCUUCACAAAAACCGGGCUCCUUGCGGGCAGAGCUUCGGCUCGUGAAUUGCACUUCUCGGGAUCUUCGGGAUUCGGGACUCGCUUCGGGUCUCGAGAUGAUAUCGGAGCUUCAGGGGUACUUCUUUUCAUGUAAAUCAAGGUAAUAUGGGUGAGAGAUGAGAGAAUGAGCAACCAAACUCGACUUGCCCUUCAAAUCUAUUUAUAGGGCAAAAUCUGCCCCUGCCACGUCGUGGCACCUUUUUCCACGUCGUGGGAUUGGUUGUCACUGCAUGCGUCAUAGCAAGUUGCAUCUGGGGGACUCCCGGAGGUGUCAUAAGACUACGUCGUGGCNCUGCUUGCCACGUCGUGGUAUCUGACAGUUUUGGUGUUUCGCGCCCCGAACUUCAGAAAUUCAUAACUUUCGCAUACGAACUCCGUUUUCGACGUUCUUUAUAUUAACGUGAAGGUGAGAUUAUGCUUUACAACUCUCGUUUAGACUCCAUUGGCUAAUUUUGAAUUUAUGUUUAAUAUAUUAUAAUUAUAUUACUUAUAUAUUAUUUUUAGUAGGCCGGGACAGGAAAACUCUGUUAUAAACUCAUAACUCCUUCGUUUGAUGUCUGUUUUCGUCCGUCUUUCCGUAGUUGCACUAAUAUCGAUGAGAUAUUCAAUUCUCAUUUAUAUUGUUGUGGAUAAUUAUCGCUCUAACAUAAAUUCACUAUUUACGUCGCGCUGUGUCGUGCCAGUUCUGUCGCUAAACUUCAAUAGGUCAUAACUUCUUCAUUAUAACUUUGAUUUCGGCGUUCUUUAUAUGUACGGAAUCCUUGUAACAUAUACUAUAACUUAGUCAAGAUUAAUCCUUCUAAAUAAUCUUCCAUCAAAAAGUCAUUUUUGAUGCUUAUCGUCUCUAAAUUGACUAGCCCUAAUUUACGGGCGUUACAGGACUUACAAAGGAGAUUGAACCCGCCAAUGAUGGAAGUGGUCAAGAAAAAAAAUUGAAGAUCCUUGAUGCGGGAAUGAUCUAUCCAAUCUUGGAUAGCAAAUGGGUGAGCCCGGUGCAUGUGGUGCCAAAAAAGACGGGAACCACGAUGGUCGAAAACAACAAAGGUAUGAUGGUUCCCACCCGCGUGCAAAACGGGUGGAGAGUAUGUAUUGACUACCGCAAACGCAAUGCAAGCACAAGAAAAUAUCAUUUUCCAUUGCCUUUCAUUGACCAAAUGUUAGAAAGGCUGGCCGAGAAAUCUCACUAUUGUUGUCUCGACGGGUACUCCGGUUUUCACCAAAUCCUAGUGGCACCGGAAGACUAAGAAAAGACAACAUUUACAUGUCCAUUUGGCAUUUUUGUAUACUGGAGAAUGCCAUUCGGAUUAUGUAAUGCCCCAGCCACUUUCCAACGUUGCAUGGUUAGUAUCUUUUCGGAAUAUGUUGAAAAUAUAAUUGAAGUUUUCAUGGAUGAGUUUAUGGUAUAUGGAAACUCCUUUCAAAAGUGUUUGACCAAUCUCAACAAAAUUUUGAAAAGAUGCAUUGAAACUAAUUUUAUUUUAAACUUUGAAAAAUGUCAUUUUAUGGUGAGUCAAGGUCUCAUUUUUGGUCAUAUUGUGUCAAAGAAAGGAAUUGAGGUAAAUAAGGCUAAAAUAGAUGUUAUUCAAAGCUUACCUUACCCGACUUGUGUUCGGGAAGUUCGUUCUUUUUUGGGCCAUGUAGGAUUCUACCGAAGAUUCAUUAAAGAUUUUUCAAAGAUAACAAGACCAAUAUUCCAAAUCUUGCAAAAGGAUGUAGAUUUCGAGUUUAAUAAGGCGUGCAAAGAAGCUUUCGACAAGCUCAAACAAUUGCUUACAUCCGCUCCUAUCAUGCAAGCACCAAAUUGGGAUCUCCCUUUUGAGAUCAUGUGUGAUGCACAUAAUUAUGCUAUUGGCGUUGUUUUGGGUCAAAAGAAUGGAAGAGCCUCCCGUGUGAUCUGCUAUGCAUCGAGGACACUAGAAAAUGCUCAAAGCAACUACUCUACCACGGAAAAGGAGUUGUUGGCUAUAGUGUUCGCUUUGGAGAAAUUUAGGCAAUAUUGACUUGGUACCAAGGUCAUAGUGUAUUCGGAUCACGCGACUCUCAAGUACUUGAUGACAAAGAAAGAUGCAAAACCAAGACUCAUCCGGGGGAUCUUAUUAUUGGAAGAUUUUGAUUUGGAAAUUCGGGACAAGAGUGGAUGCGAUAAUCUUGUUGCCGAUCAUCUAAGUCGGAUCACUUCAAAUGAAGCACCUCUCCCAUUGUGGGAUGAGUUUCUGGAUGAGCAUCUCUUUUUCCUUACUCAAUAUAUUCCUUGGUAUCCCGAUAACAUUAACUUUUUGGUCAUGAAAAGGUACCCUACACAUUCACACGUGCUCAAAAAGACAAAUUGAAAAGUGAUGCAAAAUAUUAUGUGUGGGAUGAACCUUAUUUGUGGAAACAUUGUCCCGAUCAAAUCAUUAGGCGAUGUGUGCCCCAACAAGAAUAUCAAUCCAUUUUACAAUUUUUCAAUGAAUUUGCUUUUGGACGACACUUUGGACCUAGCCGGACCUUGAGAAAGGUCCUUAAGUGUGGACUAUUUUGGCCAACCAUGUCAAGCGGCUGUUACUUGUUUUACAAAAUUUGUGAACAGUGCCAAAGGACGGGGAACAUUUUGCAGAAGAACCAAAUGCCACAAAAUCCAAUCCUUGUUUGUGAAUUUUUUGACGUAUGGAGGUGUGACAACCCAAAAAUUUCCGUUAGUUUUAACGUCGAAAUUAACGUCGAAAUCUAUUACAUCCAAAAUUAGUCUAAUUUAGCCAGAAAAUAUUUUUGACCGGAAUUAAACCCGUUGGAAUAUUUUAUAUAAUAUUCCUCAAGUAAAAAUAAACUCGUAAAUUAUCUUUCCAUUUUAUUGGAAAAAAUUAUUUUUAAUUACUACCAUUUAAUCGGGUGCGACCAAAAGCCCCGUUUAACGGCAGGAUCACCCCUAUAUAAGGGGGAGUGGACUCCAUUCACACUCUUUCCACUCUCUCUCUCUCUGUACAACUUGUUUUCGAGCCAAAAAUGCCCAUUUCGAGCCCCAAACUAGUAAGUAAUCUAUCCUAACUUUUUGUAGAGCUUAGUUAUCAUGCAAAUUCAUGUUUAAGGCAUCAAAUAGGGGCAAGAUUAUGUGUUUAUGGCCCAAGAACACUCUUGGGCCGUGAACACCCUUAAGUGGGGGGUUUUAAGCCCCAAAACCCCUCUAAACUACCCCUAGGGCUUAGAUAUGACUUGUGGACUUACACCUUCGAGCUUAGAACACUAAGAGUAAACAUGAGUUUACGGCCCUAGAACACUCUUGGACCGUUAACCCCUCUUCAAGGGCCGUGAACACCUUUUAACGUGUUAGAAAUGCCUCAAACACCUCCUAUGGCCUUGGAAAAUGUCAAGAAGCAACCCCAUUUAAGUAAAGGAAUUAAACAUCAAUUAAACCAAGGAAAUAGGAGUUUACGGCCGUAAACCCCCAUAGAAUUGGUCCAUGGGUGGUAAACUCCCAAAAAGUGCCCAAAUGAUGCCCUAACUUCUUCAUUUGACUUGGAAAAAUGCAUAGAACUUUAUUCUCUACCAUUUAAGACCUUAAUACACCAAGGAAUGAGCAUAUAGGAGCUUAUGGCCGUAAACUCCUUGUUUAGGGCCGUAAACUCCCUAAAAUGGUCAUUUUGAGGCCUUAAACCCUUCAUAAGCCCUAGAUUUGAGCCUAGCAUAAUUCCACAAAUGAUAUAAGACCUUGAAACAUCCUAGAACACCCCACCAUGAGUUUACGGCCGUAAACUCAUGGGGAUGAGGUCUUAGGGCCGUGAACUCUAUAAAGAGUUUACUCUUGAAGAGUAAACUCCCUAUCUAGGCCAUACAUACCCUUAGAUGUUACCCGGGACACCCUAGGACUUAAUCAAAGUGUUUUCCGCACUUUAGGAUGCGUAUACGUGUUUAAUUAGUAUUAUAUUUACUAAUUGUAUGUAAACAUAUGUCAUCAUAUGUUAAUAGGUCACUAAGUGUGUUCAAGUCUUUACUUGACACCGAGCACCCAACCGGCACCUUCACCCGAUCCGCUUACAACAGGUGAGUUCAUACCCCUGAAUUAACCUUUUAAAUGUUUUUACAUGCUUUUAUGGGGAGGGGGAAUACAAGUUAAUACACUGUCAACUGUUUUUACAUUCUUACAUGCCAGUUAUCAUAUCAAUCACAUGUGAUUGAUAACCCGCAUGCACAAGGAUUUAAUACACCGUCAACUAUUUUACCAAAUAUGAUACUGUAAAUGGUUUUUCCAAAACGUCUUUACUUGUUCAAAUCUUUUCUCAAAUUGACUCUCACGCUGUAUGUUUUACUUCGGAUUCAGUUACAACAGUAUUUUAAACAAAGGAUUUCUUUACCUAUAAUGUUUUAUCAAAGUUUCAUUUAAAACUUGUUUAUGAAUGUUUUUCAAAGGAUUUCUAAAGGUUUUCAAACUUAUUUUACAAAAGAAUACCAAGUCGUGAUUUUCUUAAGUGUAAUGGUUUUCCAAAGUUUUCAUCAAAGUUUUCUCCCAUGUUUUAUACUCCUACUUUGUUAGAUACUACUGCUUUGUUAUGCUUCUACUUAGUUAAUGCUCCUACUUAGUAAAAUGCUACUACUUUGUUAACGCUUUUACUUCCUGAUACGCUUAUACUUUGUUAACGCUUCUACUUCGUGAAUUGCUCCUACUUAUUAACGCUUAUACUUCACGAUACGCUUCUACUUCACGAUACACUUCUACUUAUUAACGCUUCUACUUCGUGAAACACUUCUACUUCGUUAAACACUUCAACUUCGUUAAAUGUUUCUACUUAGUUAAAUGUAUGCCUGUACUUGUAUAGUUAUAUAAAUAAUGUUUAAAGGACUUAAGAAGGCUAGUUCGCCCUAUUUCCUUUUCCUCAUUUGGAUGUGGUCUGGUGGGAUCGGAUAUCCGUCUGAAGGUCGUUUGAUCAUUAAUUAUAUAUUAUGUAUACAUGUAUAUACAUAUAGGUUUACAUCGAUCAGUUCAGUUAUGAGUCUCUACUGCUAGUCCAGCAAUUACAUCAGAAUUCAUUGUUCGAGAUACAUCUUCAAGACACGGAUCUCCCCGUCGUCGAGUUGGUAAGCAGAGUCUCUGGUAGGGAGAGCGGACAUUGUGUAUAGAUCUAUAUGGGAUUGACACCCCCGCACCUUGACUGCUAGCUACAGUCUGCGGCCUACCAAGCCAAGGGGUGACAAAAGUCAUACUUACACCGAUGCUUGCAGGGCGUCAAGUACUCUAGUGUCGAUUAGUAUGGUUACGAGUAUCUCCAUGUUACCUUAUAAUUCAUGGCCUUAAGGUAAUGAUGUUUAACACUGUAUGCUGGAAACACAUUCUUGGAAUUACAUUGUUUUAGACCUUGAUAGCUGUAUCUUUCAUUUGAUACUGUCUGGGGUCUGUAUUCAUUGUUUUAGACCUUGCUAGCUGUAUCUUUCAUUUGAUACCGUCUAGGGUCUGUGUCUCCUUUUGUUAGAAUGAGCCAGGCGUGUCGUUCAUUCAAUACUCUCCUGGAGUCUAUGAUUUCUUUGCCUUAGUCAAUAGUAUAUUCUGCUGAGGCAUAUGUUAUUUUCCCUUGUAUUUUACUAGUGAUAAUCUCCUGCUUUCUUUAAAAAUCAAAUACCGUAUAUUGGUAAUGAUAGUAUUUCAGGGAAAAUUACUCUUUAAAAACAUAACACUGUUUUAAUUAGAAAAUAUAGGAUUUUCUGGAAAGGACUCUAAUACACUGUUGAUUCUAAACUACUACUUUUUAUAAAGUUAUUGGAAUAAAAUGACACUAAAUACUUAUGAACUCACCAGCAUUUGUAAAAAUGCUGAUACUGGCUUUCAAAUAACUUGUAUUCUUAGGUUAGCAAUAGACAGGUACAUUCCAGGAGCUUUGGGUGAAGACAGUUUAGUACCAAGCUGCAACUAUAUUAUUACUUGUAUUACUUUAAUGUCUCUAUGUAAUGUAAACCAUGUAAAACUAUUACUAUUAAUGCAAUGGUUGUUGUAGUUUGAUUAUUAUACUGCAUAUGUUGUGAAACUUGACAUGACGUCAUCCACCCCAGAACGUUUCCGCCGUUCCGGUUUUGGGGUGUGACAGGAGGAUUGAUUUUAUGGGCCCAUUUCCUGUCUCAUUUGGCAACAUUUAUAUAUUUCUCGCGGUUGACUAUGUUUCUAAGUGGAUUGAGGCCAAAGCCACAAGAUUAGAUGAUGCAAAAACGGUUAUCGAGUUUUUGAAGUCUAAUAUUUUUGUAAAGCUUUGUGUACCUAGGGCUUUGAUUAGUUAUGGAAGGAUGCAUUUUUGCAAUAAGAUGAUGGAGGCCAUGCUAAGAAAGCACAACGUGACCCGUUGUGUCUGUACCGCCUACCACCCUCAAAUAAAUGGCCAAGCGGAGGUUUUGAAUCGUGAAGUGAAGUCUAUUCUUGAGAAAAUAGUGAAUCCUACUAGAAAAGAUUGGAGUUCGAGGCUUGAAGAUGCAUUGUGGGCCUAUCAGACCGCGUACAAGACCCUAAUAAGAAUGUCCCCAUUUAGGUUGGUUUUUGGAAAACCAUGUCAUCUUCCCGUGGAAUUAGAGCACCAUGCAUUUUGGGCGAUCAAGCAAUGCAACUUCAACAUUGAUGAGGCGGGAAGGAAUAAGAAGCUUCAACUUCAAGAGUUAGAAGAAUUGAGAAAUGACUCUUAUGAAAACUCAAGAAUUUACAAGGAGAAAACGAAGCUUUUCCAUGACAAAUCCAUUACCCGCAAGCAUUUUGAGCCGGGCAUAGGGUUUUGCUUUACCAUUUACGAUUAAAGUUAUUUCUCAAAAAUUUGAGGUCAAGAUGGAUAUGUCCAUUUGUUGUGCUAAAAGUCUUUGAGCACGGAGCAGUUGAAAUACAAAGUGAAGAAACGGGAAAAAUUUUCAAUGUCAACGGUCAUCAUUUGAAGCCAUUUUAUGAAGGUUUUAAUGUCAAUGCCCUUGAAAUCAUCCAUUUGGAUGUCCCAAAGUGUUGAAUCAAGUUGGGAAGACAUCUUGCCAAAGACGUUAAAGAAGGGCAUUUUUGGAAAACUUAAAGUUAUCAUCUUUUCUAAUUCCGAAUAAAUAUCUUAGAUAGAUCCUUUUUGCACUUAACAUUUCUUCUUCUUCCUUCUUGUAGUAAAAGAGUGUUGGAUUUUAAGACCCGAUAUUCGUUUUGGUCAAAGGGAAAAAAUUGAGAAGUUGCUACAGAAUUCACGCAGACUGCGUGUACUCGAAGGAGUGUCCACGUAUAUAAACAAAUGGUCUGCGUAUGGUCCUCGGACCGCGUAUAAUCCCAAAAAAACAACCACGUGAAAAAUUCGAAAGCAGAACUGGGAUGCCGAGGAUCACUAACAAGGUGUGAAUAACCAUGAAAAUUAACGUGGUACCCUUAAUUUUUAUCACCUAAUCAAUGUGCCGGUUAACCACAUGCGCUCCAUCAAUCUAUGAUAAACAUUAAGUUACCCUUUUCCACACUUACUAGUCCAUGUUAGUGUGUCGGUUAACCACACACGCUCCACUAACGACUUGGUAAGGUACAAAGUGUACUUUCAUGGGUUAGCACCAAAUUCACAUUUUCCUAAGGUAACUAAGAUUGGGAAUUUAUAAAAGGAUUAGUAUGGAUAAUCUUUUGAGAAUAGUAUAUAUUUAUGAUUUAUUAAUAUAUUAUAAGUUAUAAUAUAUUAAUAUGAAAUCAUAUUAUUUAAUUAGUAUUGAUCAAAAAUUAAUUUGGAAUUAAUUUAGUGAUCAAAAUAAACUAAUUAAAUAUGGACUCAUAUAUAUAGAAUGGGCCAAAGUUCAUUUAGGAUGGGCUAAGCUUGCAUGGAUAGUCCAUGGAGUUUCUAACCCAUGGAUCCUAUGGAAAUGAAAGGUCAUGGGUAUUAGGGUUUACAUGGUUGUAACUCUAAUCCACCAUACUAUAUAAAGAGGUCUUUAGCACAUGAAAUGGCACUAGUGUGUGUGAUAGAGAAGGUGGGCCGAUUUCUAGUGUGCAUUACUAUUCUCUUCAGUUUCCAAGUUGUGUGGUGAUUUGUGAUUCCACUUGAGGCAUUCACAUCAUUGGUGUUAGGCACUCAAAACUCUAAGCAAUCAACCACAAGAAAAUGGUAUGUCAUUCUACUAGAUUUUUAUGUUACAAGUACCGCAUAACAUGCUAGUUAGGAUGAGAUCCUUGGAAAAAUCAAAUUUGAAUGUAUAUUUGUAACAUCCCAAAAUUCAAGACUAAAAAUUUCUUUUAAUAAGAAUUACGUAUAGAAAAUUCAUCGUUUUCAAACAUAAACAAAGUAUUAGUUUCCAAAAUACAUAUUCGUUAUCAGAGUAAACAGUCCCAGGCUGUCUAAACUAUGGUGUGUGCCAUGCGAUCAUCCCGAGCUCCAUCAUCCGCUACCGGAAGUACCUGAAACCAAAACUAAAAACCGUAAGCACGAAGCUUAGUGAGUUCCCCACCUUACCACAUACUGCACAUACUGGGCCACGCCCGCUAUCCUGGGCCUCGCCCCCUACCUCGGGCCUCGCCCGCUACAACGGCCCCGCCGCUCCAGGCCCCGCCUGGCUUCGAGCCCCGCUCGGAUACAGAUCUGUUUCACUUAGGCCUCGCCUGUCACAGGGCCUCGCCCACUAACAUAUAAUAGCACAUAAACAUAUCACAUAACAUUACAUAAGCUAAACAUAUACUAACAACUCUUGCUCUAAGGCCUCGCCUAUCUCUGGGCCCCGCCCGAGUCCUGCUACUGAUGAGUCAUGGAACCUCGUCCAUACUCCUGCUGAUAGUGAGGUACGGGCCCAGCCCACCCUCACUCCUUUCCUAACUUGGGCCUCGCCCCUGCUCUGCUGCUACUGAGAUGUGGAACACCAUCCACACUCUGCUAUUGGUGAGAUACGGGACCUCGCCCACACUCACCUCCCUACCAGGCACAUACAAGUAUCACACAGACAACAAGUAUAAACUAUCACAUAAACCAUUCCUUGGGCACCCGCCCUCUAUCAUUGGACCUCGUCCCGAAUAUCAUACUAGCAUACUGUGCCUAGGGCUAACCCCCGGGUCUUCUACUCAUAACUACAUGGGCCGGCAUUGUGGCCGUAGACCCAUUCAUACAAAGGGAAACUCACCUGAUACUGCUGAACUGCUGCUGUUAAUCCCUUUGAUCGCUACCUGACCACUGACUCCGAACUACUGCUACACUAGCUCCCCGAGCUACCAAUAUCAAUACAACACUGAGUCAAACUGACCCCUGACAGACAACCAAGUCAACUUUGGUCAAGUCAAAGUCCUGGUCAAAGUCAACCUUUCUUGGUCAACCCUACUCGCCGAGUGCACUUACUGACUCGCCGAGUUCAACGAUUUCCGAGUCCUGACCUGACCAACUCGCUGAGUCUCCACCCGACUCACUGAUUCGAAUCUCAACUCGAAGGGUUUGGGGCUACGCGACCUGACUCGUCGAGUCCAAGAGCAGACUCGCCGAGCACAAGGCAAUCUUCAUCCAACUCGCCGAGUUGUUCAUCCAACUCGUCGAGUUCAUGCCCAUCUUCAUCCGACUCGACGAGCUGUUCAUCCCACUCGUCGAGUUCCUCCUCAUCUUCAAGCUACUCGCCGAGUCCACUCGAAGGACUCGCCGAGUCCAUUCAGAUCUACAUACAUGCAGAGGACUUUCGAGUCAUGCAUGGACUCCAAACUGUAGAUCUACCCUUCCCAAGCCUAUCCCCCACGUAAAGUUGCAAACUUUACGUGUAGAGAGGGAGAUCUAGGCAAAAAGCACCAUAAACUAGGGUUUAAGGCCAAGGGGCUUCAAAAUCGACUCAAGGGCUGAUACUUUAUGCUUCUCCAGUCCAUAACACACUUGGAUCUGAAGUAGCAACUCCAGAUCCGGCUCCUAACUCAAAAUAAUAUUAUUAUGGCUAAAGAGCCCCAACAACCACACAUAAAUCUAGAUGCAAAAAGGGUCCAGGAACUAGUUCAUACCUCCAAAAGCUCAGAAAUGUCUUCCCAAUCCCGGAUCUACAGCCCCCUUCUUGCACUCUCAAGAUUCUUCUUCUUUCUCCAAGCUUAAUGCACUCUUGAAGGCAAUAAAUGGCUCAAAUAGAGGAUAUGGAGGCUAGGGUUUGAUGUCCAGGGCUUAAGAGGCAGUAAGGAACCCUAGAAAGAAGAUUAAGACGUUUAUAUAGCCUCCAAGUCCCGAAUUUAGGGUUUUCCAUGCACAGACCAGACUCGCCGAGUCACCUUGGCCGACUCGACGAGUNGAUCCCGCUCUGACUCGCCGAGUUCCUCCUUGGACUCGCCGAGUCGCCCCUUAACAUUAAGGCUUUCUUUCCUUUCUUGGCCUUCAAAACUUUGGGUGUUACAACUCUCCCCCACUUAAACUAAACUUCAUCCUCGAAGUUUGCUAUGGCCCACCGCCUGCGAUCUGCCUGCAAUACCCAACCAAUUAUCCCAACACUAGCUGCCUUCCUUCGCUGGCCUACCGCCCGAUCAUUUUGACUAGCAUCAAACCUUGCGGAUAAUCAUCUCGGGUCAACCCUGACCCUAAACAUUCUGGAAACACGACUUACUCACCCGAUAAUCCGCCUGGUACUUACCGAGUACUGCACUGAACCUAUAGGGAUUCACCCCUUCUUUCCUUGCACAAUUCCUUGCCUUCCCAAGGCAAAACCCCAUAACCAACUAUUCCUUCUGUCAUUGUGAAGGCCCUAUCCUUCACCAACUCCAUCACCUCCGCUUACCAAUAUGGGUCAUUAUCGCCAGUAUCCACUGGGCAUUUCUUUCUACUAUGGUUUGGUGCUGAGCACCUCACGAUCAACUAACUGAAUUCCACCAUGCGCUGCAUGCUCGCACUGCCACUGCCUGGCAAUUAUGAUGUUCCUUUUUUGACUUCUGGAUGAACUAAGACCACCCUGGUCCCUACCAACCUAUCAAUGACUGGAUUACCAGCUCCCACCGGUAGUUGGUCCCAAUACCACCACUAAUCGCUCCGAGCGACUUCCAAAGAACUUCGAUCAUCUAUAACUGCUCAAUCUACUCUGCCAUUCAGGCACUACAAACCUGGGAUUCCCGAUCCCCUAACUUGACAAUAAGGUCCCUACUAGGUCCCACCUGUGCUGCUAAAACUCACGGGUCUCACCCAACCAUACUACUGAGCAACCCUGCUCCCAGGUCUCAUCUACACUGCUAAUCUCAUAUGGGCCUCGCCCACGGGUCUCACCCAACUAUAUCCUGGAGCGACCUCUCCCAAGNCUGCUAAUCUCAUACGGGCCUCGCCCACGGGUCUCACCCAACUAUAUCCUGGAGCGGCCUCUCCCAAGGUCUCACCUCUCUAGGGCUAUACAGGCAAACUCCCUAUCAUUCUCAUCCACUACCCAUUCCUGAUCCCUAUCUGAUCACUAGGAGAUAAGGGUCUCGCCCCAACUCCGCUAACGAAACCACUAAGGAAUGCUACGGCUUACCCAUAAUCUUACAUCACCAUCCAUUGCUGACUACUAGUACGAAGGCACCCAUGUGCCAUUAGCUCUCAAGAUCCUCAUUCCGACUCCCUCGAGUCCUACGGGCGAUCCACAACCUGAAUUCUAAACCAUAAACUAACCAUUACCAUCACACGCACUAGCUGAUGGUGAGUUUCUCAAACUCCCAACCCUGAAAUCCUCAAUCCAUGAAACUCUGAACUACUUCUCUUCCUUCUCGGAGGUCACGUAGUCAUUCUGGGUCUGCGUGCUCCUCUCUGGGCACACCCGGAGGAUUCUCCCCCACUUCGAUCCUGCUUACUCCUUGCUGCUCAAUACUCAAUAGAGAUCCCGAUCUUUGCUACCAUUCCAUAACCCAUCUACUGAGGAACCCAAGCCCACCAUAGUUAGGGAUUUAGCCAAUCUAUCACAAUCGCUGUACCACUCCGAACUUAGCGAGACGUACCAAAUCUCUCCCAAGCAUGCUACAGUUACUGCAUCCUUCGAAACCUUCUUCAUUAGAGCACAUCCCCUAACUACCAUACAAAUAUCCAAGGUAUGCAGAUGGCAUAUAACUCGAUCACAAUCAACCACUCAAAAUAAAAUACUUUUACCGAUAAUGAUGCAGAACCAUAACAAUAAAAUCAUGCACAAAUAAAAGAACUGAAAAUGGGAAAUUGCAUACCUGCAACGUCCGGCGUUGCUCGCGUCUCCAAGGUCGUCAUCUGAAAAGCCCUGCUCCCUGCUGCAGGUGCCUCUACCCGGCCCUGACGGCCAUCCGUGAUCCUCAAGGUUGCAGGGGCGGGUGCCAUCACCCGUCCUGCCGAAAACAAACUGGGACACUGGGCCUUCUUGUGGCCCCGCUGGUUGCAAUGAAAACAUAUCAAGUCUGAUCCCUGCGCGGCGGUAACAGUACAAUCCCUGCUGAAAUGACCAGUCCGACCGCACUUGAAACAGCCAGACUCACCACCGCUACCACUCCUGCACGCGCCCCCGUGCGCCCUGCCACACUUUCCGCACCGACUGCGGUCCUGAUGAUCCCUCGAUCUCGAAUCCGAUCCCUUGGGCCUUUUGCCCGAACCCGCAGCUACCUGAACCUCAUCCGGCUUCCUCUUCCGGAUUUGCUCCAAAUCAAUUUCCCUUUCUCUAGCCCGAGAAAUCAUAUCUUCCAGCGUCUUACAGCUGGAUCUGCUCACGAACUCCCUGAUGUCAUCCCUCAACAUCUCAUGGUACCGAGCCUUCUUCAUCUCCUCAUCCGCGACAUACUGCGGUACAAGAAGAGCCCUCUCCCUGAACUUGGCGGUGAUCUCCGCCACAGUCUCAGUGGUCUGCGUCAAAUCCUGAAACUCCCGUGCCAACUGCUGCACCUCAAUAAUCGGCGAAAACUCCGCCCUGAACCUGGCCGAGAAAUCGCUCCAAGUCAUCGCGUCCAACGCGGCAUCAUCCCCCAAAGCAUGACCAAUCUCCUCCCACCAAUCCCUCGCUCUGUCCUUCAGAAGACAGGAGGCGAGUCUAACCUUGUCCCCCUCGGGACACUUGCUCGUACGAAAAGCGUUGGCAACAUCAGCCAACCAUCUGCUGCUAGCAAUGGGGUCCCUAGCCCCAUGAUAAUCUGGUGCCCCGCAAGCCCUGAACUCUCGAAAUGUCAAGGUACGCGCUCCCAUCAAUGCCAUCAUCUCAGUACGGAAGGCUCCCAGCCUCUCAUCCAAAAUCUCCAAUAUACCCUCCUUGACCGUGCCAAAGAUCACAGGAGUCUGAUUCAAAAUACUGCGCGUAACCUCGGCGGAUAUCAACUCCCUCAUUCGCUCCUCGAGCUGCUCGGCCCCUGAACCCGAGCCUGAUCCCUCUCCGGCGCCUGAUCCGCCCGCUGGUCUCUCUCGCAAUGUCACCAUGCUGAAAAUAUACCACAACCACUAUCAGAAUACUCAUCACUGAUGCGAGACCAAACAUACCCUACCAGGUUCCCGGUCUUGUCUCGGCCCUUCCCGAAUCGAGUACGGAUCCUCUGCUUUCAGUAGUACGGGCCCAUACUACCUUCCACAUCUAUCCGUACUUUCCUCAGGAAUUGCUUUGACUCCACCAGGUCCCUUAUCCACUACUACUGCUCCCAGCACUAUCUCAUCCUAGGCUUACCCUAGGGAAACCUCUGACUCAACUCAAACCAGUCCUCAGCUGCUGAAGGUCUCCUUGUGAUGCCAAUUAGCCAUCACCUGGAUACCAUCACAUGUGACGAGGCUCAGAUAAUCCUUCAAGUAAAAGACUCGUCCCUACAACGGUUGGACUCAAACAAGAGCUGCGCAAUAGGGCCAAAUCCAGCACUCUGAGAUUAUUCAACCCUGAUCACAUGUGACGUGACGUAUCCACCUAAUGGCUAACUCCCAUCACUCAAAAUCCCACAAUGCACAAAGCAAGCAGCAUUCGGACAAGGGAAAAUCUAACCAUAACAUACUCAAGCAAUCAUAUCCACAUAGCAAGAAUCUGAACUAGCAUGCAACACAAACUCAUAAACUCAGGCAUAACCUAAACAGGCUAUCCUACUACUGUCUAAUCAGCACUAUCAUGCAGCUCAAAAGCACAAAUAACAGGCACAUAAGGCAUCAUUCCUAGAUCCUUAGUCCUAUUCUAGCAUGCUGUUCUAUCAACUGAUAAUCAUAACAUAAACUUGUAUGGGUAUUUUGGGGUACUUACUUGAGCUCGGUUGAUUGCAUGCACCACACCUCUUUUCUCUUUUCAAAGUUCUUUUCUUUCUGAAUUCUUUUUGCUUUUCUAAAACUGUUUUUCGUUCUCAAAAUUCUUUUUACAAAACUGUCUUUUCACUUUUGAAAACUUUUUAUCCGACCCCUCAGUUUGAGUUCAGGCACACCCGAGAGCAUGCCCGAAUCCCUCAAACCAAGGCUCUGAUACCAACUUGUAACGUCCCAAAAUUCAAGACUAAAAAUUUCAUUUAAUAAAACAUUACGUUAAGCAAAUUCAUCGUUUUCAAACAUAAACAAAGUAUUAGUUUCCAAAAUACAUAUUCGUUAUCAGAGUAAACAUUCCCAGGCUGUCUAAGCUAUGGUGUGUGCCAUGCGAUCAUCCCGAGCUCCAUCCUCCGCUACCGGAAGUACCUGAAACCAAAACUAAAAUCUGUAAGCACGAAGCUUAGUGAGUUCCCCACCUUACCACAUACUGCACAUACUGGGCCACGCCCGCUAUCCUGGGCCUCGCCCCCUACCUCGGGCCUCGCCCACUACAACGACCCCGCCGCUCCAGGCCCCGCCUGGCUUCGAGCCCCGCUCAGAUACAAAUCUGUUUCAUGUAGGCCUCGCCUGUCAUAGGGCCUCGCCCACUAACAUAUAAAAGCACAUAAACAUCUCACAUAAGCUAAACACAUACUAACGAAUCUUAUCCUAAGGCCUCGCCAAUCUCCGGGCCCCGCCCCUGACCUGCUACUGAUGAGUCACGGAACCCCGUCCAUGCUCCUACUGGUAGUGAGAUACGGGCCCAGCCCACACUCACUCCUUUCCUGACUUGGGCCUCGCCCCUGCUCUGCUGCUACUGAGAUGUGGAACACCAUCCACACUCUGCUAUUGGUGAGAUACGGGACCUCGCCCACACUCACCUCCCUACCAGGCACAUACAAGUAUCACACAGACAACAAGUAUAAACUAUCACAUAAACCAUUCCUUGGGCACCCGCCCUCUAUCAUUGGACCUCGUCCGAAUAUCAUACUAGCAUACUGUGCCUAGGGCUAACCCCCGGGUCUUCUACUCAUAACUACAUGGGCCGGCAUUGUGGCCGUAGACCCAUUCAUACAAAGGGAAACUCACCUGAUACUGCUGAACUGCUGCUGCUAAUCCCUUUGACCGCUACCUGACCACUGACUCCGAACUGCUGCUCCACUAGCUCCCCGAGCUACCAAUAUCAACAUAACACUUAGUCUAACUGACCUUCAAAGGUCAACUAAGUCAACUCUUGUCAAAGUCAAAGUCCUGGUCAAAGUCAACCUUCCAGGUCAACCCUACUCGCCGAGUCCACUUACUGACUCGCCGAGUUCUUAUGCUCAAAGUCCUUCCAAUCGCGACUUGACUCGCCGAGUCAGCCCCUGACUCGCCGAGUCUACUGAUUCCCGAAUCCUGUCCUGUCCAACUCACUGAGUCCUUGCUCGACUCGCUGACUCGAGUCUUAACUCGAAGGGUUUGGGACUACGCGACCUGACUCGCCGAGUCUAAGAACAGACUCGCCGAGCACAAGGCAAUCUUCAUCCAACUCGCCGAGUUGUUCAUCCAACUCGCCGAGUUCAUGCCCAUCUUCAUCCGACUCGACGAGCUGUUCAUCCCACUCGUCGAGUUCCUCCUCAUCUUCAAGCUACUCGCCGAGUCCACUCGAAGGACUCGCCGAGUCCAUUCAGAUCUACAUACAUGCAGAGGACUUUCGAGUCAUGCAUGGACUCCAAACUGUAGAUCUACCCUUCCCAAGCCUAUCCCCCACGUAAAGUUGCAAACUUUACGUGUAGAGAGGGAGAUCUAGGCAAAAAGCACCAUAAAUUAGGGUUUAAGGCGAAGGGGCUUCAAAAUCGACUCAAGGGCUGAUACUUUAUGCUUCUCCAGUCCAUAACACACUUGGAUCUGAAGUAGGAACUCCAGAUCUAGCUCCUAACUCAAAAUAAUAUUAUUAUGGCUAAAGAGCCCCAACAACCACACAUAAAUCUAGAUGCAAAAAGGGUCCAGGAACUAGUUCAUACCUCCAAAAGCUCAGAAAUGUCUUCCCAAUCCCGGAUCUACAGCCCCCUUCUUGCACUCUCAAGAUUCUUCUUGUUUCUCAAAGCUUAAUGCACUCUUGAAGGCAAUAAAUGGCUCAAAUAGAAGAUAUGGCGGGGGGGGGGGGUGANNNNNNNNNNNNNNNNNNNNNNNNNNNNNNUAUCCAGGGCUUAAGAGGCAGUAAGGAACCCUAGAAAGAAGAUUAAGACGUUUAUAUAGGCUCCAAGUCCCGAAUUUAGGGUUUUCCAUGCACAGACCAGACUCGCUGAGUCACCUUGGCCGACUCGCCGAGUCGGUCACUUACUCCUCAACCCGGAUCCCGCUCUGACUCGCCGAGUUCCUCCUUGGACUCGCCGAGUCGCCCCUUAACAUUAAGGCUUUCUUUCCUUUCUUGGCCUUCAAAACUUUGAGUGUUACAAUAUUAGAGAAAACAUAGAUCCAAGGUUUCUAGGGUUAGAUGUACACCAUAAGAGUGUUAGAAUGCUCAAAUCCCUUCAAUUUGAUGGUUGGUGAAUUGAUG